This 301-nucleotide ribosomal RNA is filed under the name uncultured bacterium. RNAcentral's name for it is "partial 16S ribosomal RNA". It matches the Rfam family "Bacterial small subunit ribosomal RNA", at positions 509 to 809 of the family's 1533-position model. The record is from RNAcentral.
CAGUAGCCACGGUAAUACGUAGGUGGCGAGCGUUGUCCGGAAUCAUUGGGCGUAAAGGGAGCGCAGGCGGUUGUGUAAGACAGGUGUGAAAUCCCCGGGCUUAACCUGGGAACUGCGCUUGUGACUGCACAGCUAGAGUAUGGCAGAGGGGGGUAGAAUUCCACGUGUAGCAGUGAAAUGCGUAGAGAUGUGGAGGAAUACCGAUGGCGAAGACAGCCCCCUGGGCCAAUACUGACGCUCAUGCACGAAAGCGUGGGGAGCAAACAGGAUUAGAUACCCCCGUAGUCCCUGUCUCUUAUAA